Orbicella faveolata is the source of this 183-nucleotide long non-coding RNA. The record is from RefSeq and is a predicted model, not a curated record. Lineage: Eukaryota; Metazoa; Cnidaria; Anthozoa; Scleractinia; Merulinidae.
UGAUGAUAGUGGUGCGUGUCGGCUGAUUGGGCUUACUUUACAGCGCAACCUUGGAAGUUUCUCCACGAGAAAAGUAUUCUCAACAAGUCGAGAAAGAAGUACUUUAAAAAUUCCAGAGUGGAAAGAAAUGGGAAAUCCUGACAGAUUUGCUCGCAAGAUGAAAAUAGAAAGAAGCGGGUCACA